RNAcentral lists this ribosomal RNA (792 nucleotides) under fungal endophyte. RNAcentral's name for it is "eukaryotic LSU rRNA". The stretch from base 487 to 792 matches the Rfam family "Eukaryotic large subunit ribosomal RNA", at positions 1 to 311 of the family's 3401-position model. The record is from RNAcentral. Lineage: Eukaryota; Fungi.
UACAGAGUUGCAAAACUCCCAACCAUUGUGAACCUACCUCACCGUUGCUUCGGCGGGUGGCUCGGGGCAACCCAGGCCGCGCCGGCCCCUCUUCAGGGGCCCGGCAAACCCGUCAGAGGACCGAAACUCUUCGUCAUCAGUGGCCUCUCUGAGUAACUUAUACAAUAAGUCAAAACUUUCAACAACGGAUCUCUUGGUUCUGGCAUCGAUGAAGAACGCAGCGAAAUGCGAUACGUAAUGUGAAUUGCAGAUUUCAGUGAAUCAUCGAAUCUUUGAACGCACAUUGCGCCCGCUAGUAUUCUGGCGGGCAUGCCUGUUCGAGCGUCAUUUCAACCAUCAAGCCCCUGUGCUUGUGUUGGAGCCCUGCGGCUGCCGCAGGCUCCCAAACCCAGUGGCGGGCUCGUCGUCGUACCGAGUGCAGUAAACUUACCACGCUCAGGGCACGCGACGGGUAACCGGCCGUAAAACCCCCCACUUCUCAAAGGUUGACCUCGGAUCAGGUAGGAAUACCCGCUGAACUUAAGCAUAUCAAUAAGCGGAGGAAAAGAAACCAACAGGGAUUGCCCCAGUAACGGCGAGUGAAGCGGCAACAGCUCAAAUUUGAAAUCUGGCCUCGGCCCGAGUUGUAAUUUGCAGAGGAAGCUUCUGGUGCGGCGCCGUCCGAGUCUCCUGGAACGGAGCGCCAUAGAGGGUGAGAGCCCCGUAUGGACGGAUGCCAAACCUGUGUGAAGCUCCUUCGACGAGUCGAGUAGUUUGGGAAUGCUGCUCUAAAUGGGAGGUAAAUUCCCUUCU